RNAcentral lists this ribosomal RNA (584 nucleotides) under uncultured bacterium. Its description in RNAcentral is "bacterial SSU rRNA". It matches the Rfam family "Bacterial small subunit ribosomal RNA", at positions 335 to 917 of the family's 1533-position model. The record is from RNAcentral.
UUCCUACGGGGAGGCAGCAGUGAGGAAUAUUGGCCAAUGGAGGCAACUCUGACCAGCCAUGCCGCGUGCAGGAAGACUGCCCUAUGGGUUGUAAACUGCUUUUAUACAGGAAGAAACCUUUCUACGUGUGGAAGACUUGACGGUACUGUAAGAAUAAGGAUCGGCUAACUCCGUGCCAGCAGCCGCGGUAAUACGGAGGAUCCAAGCGUUAUCCGGAAUCAUUGGGUUUAAAGGGUCCGUAGGCGGAUAAUUAAGUCAGAGGUGAAAUCCUGCAGCUCAACUGUAGAAUUGCCUUUGAUACUGGUUUUCUUGAGUUAUUGUGAAGUAGUUAGAAUAUGUAGUGUAGCGGUGAAAUGCAUAGAUAUUACAUAGAAUACCAUUGCGAAGGCAGAUUACUAACAAUGUGUACUGACGCUGAUGGACGAAAGCGUGGGGAGCGAACAGGAUUAGAUACCCUGGUAGUCCACGCCGUAAACGAUGGUCACUAGUUGUUCGGACUUCGUUCUGAGUGACUAAGCGAAAGUGAUAAGUGACCCACCUGGGGAGUACGUUCGCAAGAAUGAAACUCAAAGAAAUUUGACGGG